AGGUGAACCUGCGGAAGGAUCAUUACUGAUUUGCUUAAUUGCACCACAUGUGUUUUUCUUUGAAACAAACUUGCUUUGGCGGUGGGCCCAGCCUGCCGCCAGAGGUCUAAACUUACAACCAAUUUUUUAUCAACUUGUCACACCAGAUUAUUACUAAUAGUCAAAACUUUCAACAACGGAUCUCUUGGUUCUCGCAUCGAUGAAGAACGCAGCGAAAUGCGAUACGUAAUAUGAAUUGCAGAUAUUCGUGAAUCAUCGAAUCUUUGAACGCACAUUGCGCCCUCUGGUAUUCCGGAGGGCAUGCCUGUUUGAGCGUCGUUUCUCCCUCAAACCGCUGGGUUUGGUGUUGAGCAAUACGACUUGGGUUUGCUUGAAAGACGGUAGUGGUAAGGCGGGAUCGCUUUGACAAUGGCUUAGGUCUAACCAAAAACAUUGCUUGCGGCGGUAACGUCCACCACGUAUAUCUUCAAACUUUGACCUCAAAUCAGGUAGGACUACCCGCUGAACUUAAGCAUAUCAAUAAGCGGAGGAGGUCA
RNAcentral lists this ribosomal RNA (536 nucleotides) under fungal endophyte. Its description in RNAcentral is "eukaryotic LSU rRNA". The stretch from base 165 to 318 matches the Rfam family "5.8S ribosomal RNA". Lineage: Eukaryota; Fungi. The record is from RNAcentral.